This is a long non-coding RNA of Tripterygium wilfordii, 863 nucleotides long. RefSeq lists it as uncharacterized. The record is from RefSeq and is a predicted model, not a curated record. The transcript is spliced from 2 exons. NCBI's taxonomy places the organism in Eukaryota, Viridiplantae, Streptophyta, Magnoliopsida, Celastrales, Celastraceae.
UCUACUACUUCACCAUUGGAGUCCGCUGAGCUGAUGCUGUCAUCAUGACUAGUACAAGGAGAAAUAGGCAAAGAGCUGGCCAUGGUUAAAUCAUUGACACGGAUGGAAGACAGGCGGAGACGCGCAGUACAGAUGGUUAAAUCAUUGACAUGGUGUUUUAGGGAAUCCAAGGGAGAAAUGCCUGCAGGAGAGGGUGGUUGGCUAUUAAUUGUAGAUAGCUGUCCCUUUGAUUCAGGUUCUUCAUUCUCAGUCAUUUUCACCUAGCUAAGAGCUAUGGAGCAUGUUGAGAUUGAAGAAGUGAAGAAAACCCAGCACUCUUCGGCAAUAUAGGACCAAAUUUUACAUGAUCAGGAAUGGAGCGGUUAACUUCAUGCGAAGGAGUCAUCGGUUGCUCUGGUCUCAUAUAAAGGAUCGAGGACUCAAUGAAAAAUUGAUCCAAAUCAGAAGAAUCAGGAAUUGGAUCCAUCAUAAGCCCCUGCCUCUCUUCAGAAUACCAUCCAACAACUGAGCUCAUUUGUGGACGAAAUAAAUCUCUCCUGAGUUGAGUUGAGGAGUAAAAUCAAUCCGUGAAUGGGCCACAUCAAAGGCCCAACAAUUGGGCCCGAAGUAUGUCUAUUUUUCCGAGGGCAGUGGGCACAGCCUUGUCAAUAAUCCCACAUCGGUAAAGAAGAAACUUAGAGAGUCGAGGUGCUUGGUAUAGAAAGAUGAAAAGACGUUGAGAUAAAUCAUGAUCCUUCAGGCAAGUUUUACGGGGAUAUGAUGAGUGGUCAUUUUCUUGCAUAUCUGUGCGGGAUGGGCGUCCGCCCUGCCUGGUUACGACAACUGGGCGCUCCCAUCAUAACCGAUCUGAUCCCUAUCUUGAA